This 240-nucleotide long non-coding RNA is filed under the name Selaginella moellendorffii. RNAcentral describes it as "long non-coding RNA (SMOE_LNC001438)". Lineage: Eukaryota; Viridiplantae; Streptophyta; Lycopodiopsida; Selaginellales; Selaginellaceae. The record is from RNAcentral.
GGCACGGCAGCAACACGGUGGAAACGCGACGGUUGCUGGUCUCGCAGCUUCGAGCGGGACUUCUCGCCUUAGGUCGGGCCAUGCAAAGUGGUGACUAAGGUACGGAGAGCGUGGGGCUGCAUGUGCUGAAGAUUCCUAGUGACUUGCGUUGUGGAAACACGACCAAGUCAGGGUAACUUUGUUUCCGGUGGAGGAUAGCUCGGGACGGCAUCCCGACAGAGCGAAGUGUCCACAGUGGAU